RNAcentral lists this ribosomal RNA (1404 nucleotides) under Triticum aestivum (bread wheat). RNAcentral describes it as "partial small subunit ribosomal RNA". The record is from RNAcentral. Lineage: Eukaryota; Viridiplantae; Streptophyta; Magnoliopsida; Poales; Poaceae.
AUGCAAACCGACUGGGGUGGUGAGUAUGAGAAACUAAACUCCUUCUUUCAAAAACUUGGCAUCUCACAUCAUGUCUCUUGCCCUCAUGCUCACCAACAGAAUGGAUCAGCUGAAAGAAAGCAUCGUCACAUUGUCGAUGUAGGACUUGCAUUGUUAGCAAAUGCAUCUAUGCCACUCAAGUUUUGGGAUGAAGCCUUUUUAACUGCUACCUAUCUCAUCAACUUGCUUCCAAGCAAAGUCAUUAAGCUUGAAACCCCCAUCACACAGCUUCUUGGGGUAACACCUAAUUACAUAUCUCUUCGUAUCUUUGGUUGCGCAUGUUGGCCAAAUCUUCGACCCUACAACACACGAAAACUCGCUUUCCGCUCAAAACAAUGUGUCUUCUUAGGCUAUAGCCCUAUGCAUAAAGGGGUAAAAUGCUUAGAUGUUCCUACCGGUAGGGUCUACAUAUCCCGAGAUGUUGUCUUUGAUGAAUCUGUGUUCCCUUUUGCAUUGCUUCAUCCAAAUGCAGGUGCUCUUCUUCGCAAGGAAAUUCUCCUUCUCCCAUCAAAUCUUCGAAAUUUUGACAACGGGGAUGACAAUUGUACUAACCAAUAUGCUGAUGAUUCUGCUGUGCCUAGUUCCACUAUUAUGCCUGUGCAGGUUGCUGGCGAAAACGGUGGUCAAAACAAUCAAAAUCCUGAAAAUUUGGUUCAAAACGAGGUGUUAUUUCAUGCUCCAGAAGGGGACGAAGCUGGCGCAGAUCCCGGAGCUGAUUUGGCGGCGCCUGCCACCCCUGCGCGUCUGCAGGCGUCGCAUCCUGUCGCCGCAUCUUCCUCGAAUCCCGCUCCAGUAGACAGCGGGCCAGGCUUCGGGACCAGCCUCUCCCACGCUGCCACGUCACCCGACCGCUGGGUCAGCCGCGUAGGCGGAUCGGCCUCGCAUCCCGCGCACAUGCAACUGCAGGCGGGUGGUGGAUCUUCUGCGCCCAACAACCAUGCGGGUUCCCGAGCGUCCAGUGGCCAGGGGGGCACAUCGUGGACCACUAGAUCUUCUCUGCACCCUGGCGCAUCAUCACCUGAUGGGUCAGCUGCUGGUGGAUCUUCUGCGGAUUCUGUGCAUUCGCCUGUACAGCAGCCAGCAGCAGUUGCUUCUCGAGUCAUGACCAGGCUACAGAAAGGUAUACGCAAUCCGAAAAUAAGGAAAGAUGGCACUAUACCAUAUGGCAUGUUAUGUAUUUCAGGAGAACCAACAACAUUAAAAGAUGCACUUGGUGACUCUAAGUGGAGAAAAGCAAUGGAUGAGGAGUAUUCUGCACUGAUGAGAAAUAAGACUUGGCGUCUUGUGCCUGAUCAAAGAGGUAAAAAUAUUAUUGACUGUAAAUGGGUGUACAGGAUCAAAAAAAAAGGCAGAUGGCUCCAUUGA